GGGAAUGUGGCUUAGUGGUAGAGUGCUUGCCUAGCAUGCAUGAAACCCUGGGUUCAAUUCCUCAGUUAUUACA
Non-coding RNA from Dipodomys ordii (Ord's kangaroo rat), 73 nucleotides. Lineage: Eukaryota; Metazoa; Chordata; Mammalia; Rodentia; Heteromyidae. The record is from Rfam.